RNAcentral lists this ribosomal RNA (1540 nucleotides) under Staphylococcus aureus. RNAcentral's name for it is "16S ribosomal RNA". It matches the Rfam family "Bacterial small subunit ribosomal RNA". Lineage: Bacteria; Bacillati; Bacillota; Bacilli; Caryophanales; Staphylococcaceae. The record is from RNAcentral.
AGAGUUUGAUCCUGGCUCAGGAUGAACGCUGGCGGCGUGCCUAAUACAUGCAAGUCGAGCGAACGGACGAGAAGCUUGCUUCUCUGAUGUUAGCGGCGGACGGGUGAGUAACACGUGGAUAACCUACCUAUAAGACUGGGAUAACUUCGGGAAACCGGAGCUAAUACCGGAUAAUAUUUUGAACCGCAUGGUUCAAAAGUGAAAGACGGUCUUGCUGUCACUUAUAGAUGGAUCCGCGCUGCAUUAGCUAGUUGGUAAGGUAACGGCUUACCAAGGCAACGAUGCAUAGCCGACCUGAGAGGGUGAUCGGCCACACUGGAACUGAGACACGGUCCAGACUCCUACGGGAGGCAGCAGUAGGGAAUCUUCCGCAAUGGGCGAAAGCCUGACGGAGCAACGCCGCGUGAGUGAUGAAGGUCUUCGGAUCGUAAAACUCUGUUAUUAGGGAAGAACAUAUGUGUAAGUAACUGUGCACAUCUUGACGGUACCUAAUCAGAAAGCCACGGCUAACUACGUGCCAGCAGCCGCGGUAAUACGUAGGUGGCAAGCGUUAUCCGGAAUUAUUGGGCGUAAAGCGCGCGUAGGCGGUUUUUUAAGUCUGAUGUGAAAGCCCACGGCUCAACCGUGGAGGGUCAUUGGAAACUGGAAAACUUGAGUGCAGAAGAGGAAAGUGGAAUUCCAUGUGUAGCGGUGAAAUGCGCAGAGAUAUGGAGGAACACCAGUGGCGAAGGCGACUUUCUGGUCUGUAACUGACGCUGAUGUGCGAAAGCGUGGGGAUCAAACAGGAUUAGAUACCCUGGUAGUCCACGCCGUAAACGAUGAGUGCUAAGUGUUAGGGGGUUUCCGCCCCUUAGUGCUGCAGCUAACGCAUUAAGCACUCCGCCUGGGGAGUACGACCGCAAGGUUGAAACUCAAAGGAAUUGACGGGGACCCGCACAAGCGGUGGAGCAUGUGGUUUAAUUCGAAGCAACGCGAAGAACCUUACCAAAUCUUGACAUCCUUUGACAACUCUAGAGAUAGAGCCUUCCCCUUCGAGGGACAAAGUGACAGGUGGUGCAUGGUUGUCGUCAGCUCGUGUCGUGAGAUGUUGGGUUAAGUCCCGCAACGAGCGCAACCCUUAAGCUUAGUUGCCAUCAUUAAGUUGGGCACUCUAAGUUGACUGCCGGUGACAAACCGGAGGAAGGUGGGGAUGACGUCAAAUCAUCAUGCCCCUUAUGAUUUGGGCUACACACGUGCUACAAUGGACAAUACAAAGGGCAGCGAAACCGCGAGGUCAAGCAAAUCCCAUAAAGUUGUUCUCAGUUCGGAUUGUAGUCUGCAACUCGACUACAUGAAGCUGGAAUCGCUAGUAAUCGUAGAUCAGCAUGCUACGGUGAAUACGUUCCCGGGUCUUGUACACACCGCCCGUCACACCACGAGAGUUUGUAACACCCGAAGCCGGUGGAGUAACCUUUUAGGAGCUAGCCGUCGAAGGUGGGACAAAUGAUUGGGGUGAAGUCGUAACAAGGUAGCCGUAUCGGAAGGUGCGGCUGGAUCACCU